CGUUCGUGCCAGCGGGGGUGGAGGGAGCCCACCAUCUUCGCGCCGGCGGGGGUAGAGGGAGGGGCCGUCUUCGUGGCUGGGGUCGGUUGCUGUGCGGUGUUGGUACUGGGGUUGGCCUCUGUGCGACGUGGCGGAUGGCCUCGUGGAGCCCCAGCGGCCUAGAUCGCCCCCAGGAAGUGGAGGGAGGUGAGCGGCCGCUGGUACUCAGGUGAAGGCCUAACCCACGAUACGACAUCAACCUCCUCCAUAACUUGAAGUCUACCUCUUCCCGUGCUGGACGUCGACCGACGUGCGUUGGCGGCAGGGUGCGGUACCUAGCUCGUCGGCGGUAGGGGUCGUCCGGGGCUCUGCCUAGGUACGGCGAGGAGGGGAAGGGCCAGCUACGGCGAUCGUAUCGAGCCUGCCCUUGGAGGAGAGCCCACAAUAGUAGUAUAGUUGAUCCCUCUUCAGGUUUCUGUCCCCGCGUACGUCCUUAGCGAGUAGUCGCCACUAAGCAAGAUCCCUUGUAGCGGAGUCUGCCGCGGGCGACCACGCGGUUGUCGUCGGGUCACGCUAUGUUUUCACACCUACUGCGAAUGAAGGCAGGUGGUACGGAGCGAUGCCGCCGCGAACCUAGGGUGGUAGCACGGUGACCUAGGAGGCGGAAGUUCGGGGACGUAGAGGUCACUCGCGACACGCGCAUGCCAGGACUAGGUCACGUACGCCGAAGCUAGGUCGUACAGGGUCGGCGGCGGCAUGUUACGACGAGGCCGGCGACGAAACCGGCAGGUUCACGGGGUGGCUUCAGGCAGGCUCAAGGAGACAGGCACGAGGAAACACAGCUUCGAAGUCGUUUGCAACGCAGCUCGGUGACCGUGUACAAGCGUAGGAGGUAGUAGAGUGAAAAGAUGAUAAGGAGUACAAGAUCGGUAACCGUGUACACGCAGAAGUCGGUUCGCAACCAAGGAAGGAGGACAGGUUAAUACAUAACAAAGUUUCACUAAACUAUAGACUUCCAGUUGGAAUAGACGUCUACGUUUCUUUAAACACAAAACCAGGCAACCAAAGUCAAAUUGUCCUCGAAGUCAUUACCUUUUGAACUCAAAAGAAGGUUCAAAUAGAGCUUUUACGUACUGACGGCUGCCAGGUAAAUUAGUCUCUACUUUAUGAAAAUCUUCGUUUGCUUAGAUUCCGGGAGAGGGGCCCACCAAAAAUGGUCCGCUACAUGAGCACAGAUCACGGCAGUCACAAGUGAGUCCCCGUAUAAGGAAAAGAAGUCAAAACAUGUAUAUCAGCAUCUUGAUACAUUGAACCAGAUUCAUUCAUCCAUGUCUUCCUCUCCUCCCGGAAGAUGAGUCUGGCCGGCCGGUGAAGAAGUCUGACUACAAGUGUAGAUGAGGUCGAUCGUGGUGAGGACUUCACGGGGUUAGUAACGGCACGGUUUCUUAUCGGCUAACAAGUGGGUAUAAAACAAAGAGAAGACAUAUGUGACGUACACUAGAGAAGUACAAAGAUACUAAUAUUUCACAACGGCAAACAACGACGACUUACCACUCCACUCGUUCCCCUCUUCUAAUCGACGGUAACGAUCACAAAGAAGAAAAAAUAGAGACUUCAAUACACUUAGUUCAAUGUCCUUUAUCUUCUUUUUUUG
This 1633-nucleotide ribosomal RNA is filed under the name Triticum aestivum (bread wheat). Its description in RNAcentral is "partial small subunit ribosomal RNA". The record is from RNAcentral. Lineage: Eukaryota; Viridiplantae; Streptophyta; Magnoliopsida; Poales; Poaceae.